Molecule: ribosomal RNA, 497 nt
Filed under: uncultured bacterium
Lineage: Bacteria
Description: partial 16S ribosomal RNA
Rfam family: Bacterial small subunit ribosomal RNA
Source: RNAcentral
GAUGAACGCUGGCGGCGUGCCUAAUACAUGCAAGUCGAGCGAACAGACGAGGAGCUUACUCCUCUGACGUUAGCGGCGCACGUGUGUGUAACACGUGGAUAAUCCACCUAUAAGUCUGGUAUAACUUCGGGAAACCGGAGCUAAUACCGUAUAACAUGCUGAACCGCAUGGUUCAACAGUGAAAGACGGUCUUUCUGUCACUUAUAGAUGGAUCCGCGUCGCAUUAGCUAGUUGGUAAGGUAACGGCUUACCAAGGCAACGAUGCGUAGCCGACCUGAGAGAGUGAUAGGCCACACUGGAGCUGAGACACGGUCCAGACUCCUACGGGAGGCAGCAGUAGGGAAUGUUCCGCAAUGGGCGAGAGCAUGACGGAACAACGUCAAGUGAGUGGAAAAGGUCUUCGGAUCGUAAUACUCUGUUAUUAGGGAAAAACCAAUGUGUAAGUAACUAUGCACGUCUUGACGGUACCUAGUCAGAAAGCCACGGCUAACUACGUG